Long non-coding RNA from Astatotilapia calliptera (eastern happy), 2500 nucleotides. NCBI's taxonomy places the organism in Eukaryota, Metazoa, Chordata, Actinopteri, Cichliformes, Cichlidae. The record is from Ensembl.
CAGAAACCAAAAGGUUCAAAUGACAGUUUCUAAUGCAGUCUCUGUACAAAAGGAGAAUCUGGUGAGAAUCAGCUUAGUGUUUUUUUACAACGGGGAGAAGACGAUGAUACUUUCCAGCUUCAAAAGCUUCUUUAUUUAUUAUUAUUUGAGCUCCUUAUUCUACCCAAGCAAUGGUUUUGAGGUGAUCCAGCCACAGAAUAAGACUAAUAACCCAGAUACAGUUUUCAUCAGCUGUAACUUUACAGCAAACACUGGGACAAUUGUAGAUGUUCGACUCAACAAGGUUUUACCAGAGAAAAAGAUGCUCUGCCAGACUGAAUCUGAAGCCUGUCAUAACAUUAUCGUACUUAAAGACGCUCCAUUCAAGUACAUUUUCAUCUUACUCAAUGCUGGGCCAGAGGCAUGGACCUCAAAGUAUGAAUGUGAGUGGUCAGCAACAAAUAAGGAUGGGACGGACAAAACCGUGACAAGUGCAGCAAACAAAUUAAUUAAACUGCAACUACAAGGUCAACUGGGAACCACACCACAGUGUACUCCUCCCCCUUCACCUCCUCCCCCUCAGUCCCAUCAGCUCAUGUGGAUUUUGAUUGGUCUGCUGGCCCUGAUGUUUGUGUACAGCUGUAUCAUCACCUCCUUCUACAUGAGGCUUAUGGUGACUAUCUGUCAGAAUUACUAUUUUUCUGAGGCUGUAAUUUACGAUAUAUGUCUUUAUAUGUCUUAGUGUGUUUUUUAUCAGAUGUUUGUUAUCAUCUUGCCCGGACGCAACGUUAAAAGGUCCACAAAGCAGCUGAAAGCAGCUUUUAUGAUGGUCAGCCAGGUAAUAGAUGAAGGGAGAUGUUUUGGUAGAGAUUUUUACACAGCCGUAGUUCAUUUUCUAAAUGAGAAAGAAUUCAGGUUUAAACUUUUAUAUAAGGUCUAUGAUAUGACCACAGCUUUCACUGUUGUUGAGGGCUUCGGGAGCUUCUUUUGAUCGUUGUUAUUUUGAGACUUUCUUAGUCUGAAAUCAUAUUUGUUUGUUUUUCCAAUUACAAUUUAAAAAGAUUUUUGUUUCCAACUCAGUAUAAGCUGUUUAUAAGCUGCUUUGAAAUUCUGCUUUUUUUACAUUCACAACAGACGAUACAAAGCCAUAAAAUAAUUGUUCAGCUCAUAACAACACACAGUGGAUGUUCCGUGUCAACCUCAAGAGUUCUUUGAAAUGAAACAUCAAACUGACCCACACAGAUUUUUAUUGACAUCAGACAUUGUUACAGUUAGACACACACAAGUUAAAUUUAUAAUGUUUCCUAAUAAGCUGACUGUAAAUAUGAAAUGCACAAAAGCAGGACGUCCCCAAAACUGAAUGCAGUUUUAAUGCAUCAUUUUCUGCUAUGAGACUGUAAAACGCCUGCUGAGCAAUAGGCUCCAGCCCUUGUAACAUAACUAAUGUGAAAUUAGUCUAUAAGGUGUUCUUUAGAGUUAAAAGACUUUCAAAUACUUACUGCUUUUCUUUGUUACAUAAAUUCCAUCAAUUUUGACAAGCGUCCCGACACCACUGUUGAAAUGUGGCCCCAAACCAUCACGCUGUGUUUUACAGUUGGCUGUAUACACUCACUAUUCCACCUCUUUCCUGACCUCCUCUCUAUAUCUUGAUGCCAAUGUGCCGCUGAUUUUCACUCUACUUCUUGAAAAAUUUGGCACACAUCAGCCGUUUUCUCCCUGUUUUCUCUGAUCCCAAAGAAUCACUGUCCAUGUUUGCAAAUUUUGCUUCAUCUGACCACAGAAGAGUUUUCCACUCGACGAUGCCGACCGGAGGAUUGUGACUUUGAUCCUUUGUCCCUCGAGCAUAAAGAUUUCUCCUGAUUCUUGGAAACUUUUACUGUUAUGUACUGUAGAAAGUUAUUCUAUUUUACAUUGAAGACCAUUGUUCUGGAAUUGUUUCACAAUUUGUAGACAGUUUUUUCAAAGUGAGUUAGCAGACAGUUAAUAAGAUACUGAAAGACAUCCAUAAAAACUGUCCUGCCUUUGUGCCGUGCCUGAACACCCAGUUUUAACAGCAGUAUUAUUAUUAAAUACAUUUAACAGAAUAAAGCUAUCAAAAGAAUGAGGCAAAUUGAAAACCGAAAUGUCUGCAUCUCCUCUGCACUUAAUGUUACUAAACUAAUUACUUGAAAAGAAAUCCUGCUGUAGGUGAUGUGUCACUUUUGUGUUUUUUUUUGUUUCAGAACAGCAGCAAAGAUUGCGAAAACUCCACCUAUGUUGAAAUGAGGAACGUUCCAGUUCAGCUGCAUCCUCACCACAUUUACAAUACUAUGCAAAAGGCUUGAGCUGCCCCUCAUUUCUUUAUAUCUUAUUAGGAAAAUGGGUAAUAGGUUCAACAAUGUCUUAAAACAUGUAAAAAUACAUGGAAAUACAGUAUCUGCAGUAAAUACAACUGUGUACACAAAUGCAUAAACAGAGUCUGCACAAUUCUAAGGAACUUUAAAUAUUUCAUAUGACCAAACUUAUUCUUCUACAUAGCCUG